AAUGUGCUGCCCGAAUGCUUAAGAAAGAAGAAGAAAAUAUUGAGUCUUUAAGACUUUAUAGCCACUGUGGUGGCGUUCUGACUCAGAACGCAUCGAAAACAUAGCAAAGAGUUCUUCAAAUUCAAAGUUCAAAGUUCAAACUUCAAAUCAAGACAUGGGAAGUGUGACUAUGAAUCCAUUAUUUAGAAGUGAAUCUUUUGGAUAUUACAACUACUUUCCUGAUCAAAAUUACACCAUGAUAGAGAAGAGACAGUUAUUUCUAAGAAGCUACCAGUUCUGUAGAAAGAAGAGUUUGACUGAGAGAAUCAAAGGGUCAUUAGUUCGUGCUAAGAAAGUUGUUUGGUUGAAGUUAAGGUAUGGUCGUGGAUUAAGAAAGUUGGUAUUUUUUCCAAAGUUUAAAUGUGGUUUCUAUUACCGUAGAAGAAGAUUUUCACAGCUUUUAAACACUACUUAGUCACUCUGCAAAAUUGAUUCUUCUAUGACUAUGGUGUUUAAUUAUGGUAGUGGUAAAUAAAAAUACACACUACUAUGUUAUUCAUAAUUUGUUUUGUUUUGUUUAUUAAGAAGUUUAAGGUUAGAAUUUGGAACAUGUAUGUAUGUAGCAUAUUAUUGUUCAUGUUCAUUAUUCUUAACGAUGAACUUGUUCUGUUAUUUUUUUUUUUUGUUAAUUAAAUUGUUUUGUUGGUAGGUUUAUGCGUCA
This is a long non-coding RNA of Trifolium pratense (red clover), 700 nucleotides long. RefSeq lists it as uncharacterized. The record is from RefSeq and is a predicted model, not a curated record. NCBI's taxonomy places the organism in Eukaryota, Viridiplantae, Streptophyta, Magnoliopsida, Fabales, Fabaceae. The transcript has 2 exons.